This 462-nucleotide ribosomal RNA is filed under the name uncultured Desulfobulbus sp. RNAcentral describes it as "bacterial SSU rRNA". It matches the Rfam family "Bacterial small subunit ribosomal RNA", at positions 923 to 1382 of the family's 1533-position model. The record is from RNAcentral. Lineage: Bacteria; Pseudomonadati; Thermodesulfobacteriota; Desulfobulbia; Desulfobulbales; Desulfobulbaceae.
GCACAAGCGGUGAGCAUGUGGUUAAUUCGAUGCAACGCGAAGAACCUUACCUGGUCUUGACAUCCCGGAGACCCUUAGGAAACUAGGGGUGCUUCCAUCUGGAAGAAUCUGGAGACAGGUGCUGCAUGGCUGUCGUCAGCUCGUGUCGUGAGAUGUUGGGUUAAGUCCCGCAACGAGCGCAACCCUUGCCUUUAGUUGCCAGCAGUUCGGCUGGGCACUCUAAAGGGACUGCCGGUGUUAAACCGGAGGAAGGUGGGGAUGACGUCAAGUCCUCAUGGCCUUUAUGACCAGGGCUACACACGUACUACAAUGGCCGAUACAAAGGGCAGCGACACUGCGAGGUGAAGCCAAUCCCGUAAAAUCGGUCUCAGUCCGGAUUGGAGUCUGCAACUCGACUCCAUGAAGUUGGAAUCGCUAGUAAUCGUGGAUCAGCAUGCCACGGUGAAUACGUUCCCGGGCCUU